AUGCUACCGUCCGUGAACUGUGGAUGGGCUGGUAAGAACACUACUACGCUCUGGAUUCAGCCGGAGGCACCGAAGCAACUGGCUCCUCGACUAAGCAACUUGAGGAUUCUGAAUCUCCAGAAGAUUCCUGAAGAAUGCGGCAUCAAGUGGACAUUCUUCCUGCUAGAUGCCGCACCUCUAUUGGAGGAGCUCGACAUUGAGGUAUCGAACCACCAGUGCAACCCAUUGGAGGAUGAGAUGCUAAGGGAACGUCUAGUUUGCAAGAAAACAUUUAUCGAGUGGGAACCAUCUGAUUUCAAGCGAUAUAACUUGGCCGUGCUCACAAUCUAUGGUUUUCGGCCCGAGAAAAUGUUCAUGGGGUAUAUUACAAGGAUCAUGGAAGUGGCUAUCUCUUCAUGA
Molecule: ribosomal RNA, 399 nt
Filed under: Triticum aestivum (bread wheat)
Lineage: Eukaryota; Viridiplantae; Streptophyta; Magnoliopsida; Poales; Poaceae
Description: partial small subunit ribosomal RNA
Source: RNAcentral